CCUACGGGAGGCAGCAGUGAGGAAUAUUGGUCAAUGGGCGCUAGCCUGAACCAGCCAAGUAGCGUGAAGGAUGACUGCCCUAUGGGUUGUAAACUUCUUUUAUAUGGGAAUAAAGUGCAGUAUGUAUACUGCUUUGCAUGUACCUUAUGAAUAAGGAUCGGCUAACUCCGUGCCAGCAGCCGCGGUAAUACGGAGGAUCCGAGCGUUAUCCGGAUUUAUUGGGUUUAAAGGGAGCGUAGGCGGGUUGUUAAGUCAGUUGUGAAAGUUUGCGGCUCAACCGUAAAAUUGCAGUUGAUACUGGCAUCCUUGAGUACAGUAGAGGUAGGCGGAAUUCGUGGUGUAGCGGUGAAAUGCUUAGAUAUCACGAAGAACUCCGAUUGCGAAGGCAGCCUGCUGGACUGUAACUGACGCUGAUGCUCGAAAGUGUGGGUAUCAAACAGGAUUAGAUACCCGGGUAGUC
This 460-nucleotide ribosomal RNA is filed under the name uncultured bacterium. RNAcentral describes it as "partial 16S ribosomal RNA". It matches the Rfam family "Bacterial small subunit ribosomal RNA", at positions 338 to 795 of the family's 1533-position model. The record is from RNAcentral.